UGGGGAAUUUUGGACAAUGGGCGAAAGCCUGAUCCAGCAAUGCCGCGUGUGUGAAGAAGGCCUUCGGGUUGUAAAGCACUUUUGUCCGGAAAGAAAUCCUUGGCUCUAAUACAGUCGGGGGAUGACGGUACCGGAAGAAUAAGCACCGGCUAACUACGUGCCAGCAGCCGCGGUAAUACGUAGGGUGCAAGCGUUAAUCGGAAUUACUGGGCGUAAAGCGUGCGCAGGCGGUCCGCUAAGACAGAUGUGAAAUCCCCGGGCUUAACCUGGGAACUGCAUUUGUGACUGGCGGGCUAGAGUAUGGCAGAGGGGGGUAGAAUUCCACGUGUAGCAGUGAAAUGCGUAGAGAUGUGGAGGAAUACCGAUGGCGAAGGCAGCCCCCUGGGCCAAUACUGACGCUCAUGCACGAAAAGCGUGGGGGAGCAAACAGGAUUAGAUACCCUGGUAGUCCACGCCCUAAACGAUGUCAACUAGUUGUCGGGUCUUCAUUGACUUGGUAACGUAGCUAACGCGUGAAGUUGACCGCCUGGGGAGUACGGUCGCAAGAUU
RNAcentral lists this ribosomal RNA (549 nucleotides) under uncultured bacterium. Its description in RNAcentral is "partial 16S ribosomal RNA". It matches the Rfam family "Bacterial small subunit ribosomal RNA", at positions 355 to 895 of the family's 1533-position model. The record is from RNAcentral.